UACGAAGGGGGCUAGCGUUGCUCGGAAUCACUGGGCGUAAAGGGUGCGUAGGCGGGAUCUUAAGUCAGAGGUGAAAGCCUGGAGCUCAACUCCAGAACUGCCUUUGAUACUGGGAUUCUUGAGUUCGGAAGAGGUAAGUGGAACUGCGAGUGUAGAGGUGAAAUUCGUAGAUAUUCGCAAGAACACCAGUGGCGAAGGCGGCUUACUGGUCCGAUACUGACGCUGAGGCACGAAAGCGUGGGGAGCAAACAGG
RNAcentral lists this ribosomal RNA (253 nucleotides) under uncultured bacterium. RNAcentral describes it as "partial 16S ribosomal RNA". It matches the Rfam family "Bacterial small subunit ribosomal RNA", at positions 524 to 776 of the family's 1533-position model. The record is from RNAcentral.